RNAcentral lists this transfer RNA (85 nucleotides) under Halanaerobaculum tunisiense. Its description in RNAcentral is "tRNA-Leu". It matches the Rfam family "tRNA". From Rfam's summary of the family: Transfer RNA (tRNA) molecules are approximately 80 nucleotides in length. Their secondary structure includes four short double-helical elements and three loops (D, anti-codon, and T loops). Further hydrogen bonds mediate the characteristic L-shaped molecular structure. tRNAs have two regions of fundamental functional importance: the anti-codon, which is responsible for specific mRNA codon recognition, and the 3' end, to which the tRNAs corresponding amino acid is attached (by aminoacyl-tRNA synthetases). tRNAs cope with the degeneracy of the genetic code in two manners: having more than one tRNA (with a specific anti-codon) for a particular amino acid; and 'wobble' base-pairing, i.e. permitting non-standard base-pairing at the 3rd anti-codon position. Lineage: Bacteria; Bacillati; Bacillota; Clostridia; Halanaerobiales; Halobacteroidaceae. The record is from RNAcentral. RNAcentral also lists the same sequence under 2 other names.
GCGAAGGUGGUGGAACUGGCAGACACGCUAGACUUAGGAUCUAGUGCCGCAAGGCGUGUGGGUUCGACUCCCACCCUUCGCACCA